UACGGGGGGAGUAAGCGUUGUUCGGAUUUACUGGGCGUAAAGGGCGCGUAGGCGGCGCGACAAGUCACUUGUGAAAUCUCCGGGCUUAACUCGGAGCGGCCAAGUGAUACUGUCGUGCUAGAGUGCGGAAGGGGCAACUGGAAUUCUCGGUGUAGCGGUGAAAUGCGUAGAUAUCGAGAGGAACACCUGCGGCGAAGGCGGGUUGCUGGGCCGACACUGACGCUGAAGCGCGAAAGCCAGGGGAGCGAACGGG
Molecule: ribosomal RNA, 253 nt
Filed under: uncultured bacterium
Lineage: Bacteria
Description: partial 16S ribosomal RNA
Rfam family: Bacterial small subunit ribosomal RNA
Source: RNAcentral